GAUGAACGCUGGCGGCGUGCUUAACACAUGCAAGUCGAACGAAGCUGCCCAAAGGAAGUUUUCGGAUGGAAUUUAGGUAGACUUAGUGGCGGACGGGUGAGUAACGCGUGGAUAACCUGCCUUAUACAGGGGGAUAACGGAGAGAAAUUUCCGCUAAGACCGCAUAAGACCACAGCACCGCAUGGUGCAGGGGUAAAAUAUUUAUAGGUAUAAGAUGGAUCCGCGUCCGAUUAGCUUGUUGGUGAGGUAGAGGCUCACCAAGGCGACGAUCGGUAGCCGGCCUGAGAGGGUGAACGGCCACAUUGGGACUGAGACACGGCCCAAACUCCUACGGGAGGCAGCAGUGGGGAAUAUUGGACAAUGGGAGGAACCCUGAUCCAGCGACGCCGCGUGAGUGAAGAAGUAUUUCGGUAUGUAAAGCUCUAUCAGCAGGGAAGAAAAUGACUUACCUGACUA
This 456-nucleotide ribosomal RNA is filed under the name Lachnospiraceae bacterium oral taxon 107. RNAcentral's name for it is "bacterial SSU rRNA". It matches the Rfam family "Bacterial small subunit ribosomal RNA", at positions 28 to 464 of the family's 1533-position model. The record is from RNAcentral. Lineage: Bacteria; Bacillati; Bacillota; Clostridia; Lachnospirales; Lachnospiraceae.